CGGGGCUUAAAGUCUUGUAAUUGGAAUGAUGGGAAUUUAAACCUCUUCCAGAGUAUCAAUUGGAGGGCAAGUCUGGUGCCAGCAGCCGCGGUAAUUCCAGCUCCAAUAGCGUAUAUUAAAAUUGUUGCAGUUAAAAAGCUCGUAGUUGAAUUUCUGCUGCAUUGCUUGUGUCCCUCUGGGGUCUGUGCAUGUGGCUUUUUUCGGACGGAGUUUCUUUGUCUGAAUGUUUACUUUGAAAAAAUUAGAGUGCUCAAAGCAGGCUUUCGCCUUGAAUAGUUUAGCAUGGAAUAAUAAAGUAGGACUUUGGUUCUAUUUUGUUGGUUUUAGGUACCAAAGUAAUGGUUAAUAGGAACAGUUGGGGGCAUUCGUAUUUAACUGUCAGAGGUGAAAUUCUUAGAUUUGUUAAAGACGAACUACUGCGAAAGCAUUUGCCAAGGAUGUUUUCAUUAAUCAAGAAC
This 458-nucleotide ribosomal RNA is filed under the name Theileria annulata. Its description in RNAcentral is "SSU rRNA". It matches the Rfam family "Eukaryotic small subunit ribosomal RNA", at positions 486 to 984 of the family's 1831-position model. The record is from RNAcentral. Lineage: Eukaryota; Apicomplexa; Aconoidasida; Piroplasmida; Theileriidae.